GUAUGGUGCUGGGUGCAGAUGCAGUGUGGCUCUGGAUAGCACCUUAUGGACAGUUGUGUCCCCAAGGAAGGAUGAGAAUAGCUACUGAAGUCCUAAACAGCAAGCCUAACUCAAGCCAUUGGCACACAGGCAUUAGACAGAAAGCUGGAAGUUGAAAUGGUGGAGUCCAACUUGCCUGGACCAGCUUAAUGGUUCUGCUCCUGGUAACGUUUUUAUCCAUGGAUGACUUGCUUGGGUAUGGAGAGUCGGCUUGACUACACUGUGUGGAGCAACUUUUAAAGAAGCAAAGGACUCAGAAUUCAUGAUUGAAGAAAUGCAGGCAGACCUGUUAUCCUAAACUAGGGUUUUUAACGACCACAACAAGCAAGCAUGCAGCUUACUGCUUGAAAGGGUCUUGCCUCACCCAAGCUGGAGUGCAGUGGCCUUUGAAGCUUACUACAGCCUCAAACUUCUGGGCUCAAGUGAUCCUCAGCCUCCCAGUGGUCUUUGUAGACUGCCUGAUGGAGUCUCAUGGCACAAGAAGAUUAAAACAAUGUCUCCAAUUUUAAUAAAUUUUUGCAAUCCA
This 565-nucleotide long non-coding RNA is filed under the name Pan troglodytes (chimpanzee). RNAcentral describes it as "lincRNA". Lineage: Eukaryota; Metazoa; Chordata; Mammalia; Primates; Hominidae. The record is from RNAcentral.